GCACAUGAACUUCAGGGGGACAAAAUGUAUUCCGUGACAGUCGCUUCUCGCAUUUCCCAGCCCUCCGGUUUUCAAAUAAGUGCUUUAAAAGUUACUUCUUCAGGAUAACAACUGUGACCCUAUUCAUGGUAUUGACUGGGUUAGUAUUUCCUCAGUGGGAGAAACUUCAUGUUGAUGAUGAAAUGAAAAAUCGCUGAAGACUUCCCUUCAUUCAUGACACUGAAAGUACUAUUUCCAGGGUGAAUCCCUACAUAUGCCACAAAUAUUGCUGUUUGAAUAAAGAACUUAUCAUGA
Carlito syrichta (Philippine tarsier) is the source of this 294-nucleotide long non-coding RNA. RefSeq lists it as uncharacterized. The transcript has 2 exons. The record is from RefSeq and is a predicted model, not a curated record. Lineage: Eukaryota; Metazoa; Chordata; Mammalia; Primates; Tarsiidae.